AGAGCGAACGCUGGCGGCAGGCCUAAUACAUGCAAGUCGAGCGGCCACUUCGGUGGCAGCGGCGGACGGGUGAGUAACGCGUGGGAAUGUGCCCUUUGGUACGGAACAACUGAGGGAAACUUCAGCUAAUACCGUAUGUGCCCUUCGGGGGAAAGAUUUAUUGCCAUUGGAGCAGCCCGCGUUGGAUUAGCUAGUUGGUGGGGUAAAGGCCCACAAGGCGACGAUCCAUAGCUGGUCUGAGAGGAUGAUCAGCCACACUGGGACUGAGACACGGCCCAGACUCCUACGGGAGGCAGCAGUAGGGAAUCUUGCGCAAUGGGCGAAAGCCUGACGCAGCCAUGCCGCGUGAAUGAUGAAGGUCUUAGGAUUGUAAAAUUCUUACACCGGGAAGAUAAUGACGGUACCGAGAAGAAGCCCGGCUAACUUCGCGCCAGCAGCCGC
RNAcentral lists this ribosomal RNA (441 nucleotides) under uncultured soil bacterium. RNAcentral describes it as "bacterial SSU rRNA". It matches the Rfam family "Bacterial small subunit ribosomal RNA", at positions 26 to 518 of the family's 1533-position model. The record is from RNAcentral.